GGGGGCUCUGUUGGUUCUCCCGCAACGCUACUCUGUUUACCAGGUCAGGUCCGGAAGGAAGCAGCCAAGGCAGAUGACGCGUGUGCCGGGAUGUAGCUGGCAGGGCCCCCACCC
This 114-nucleotide signal recognition particle RNA is filed under the name Escherichia coli. Its description in RNAcentral is "4.5S RNA component of the signal recognition particle (SRP)". The stretch from base 9 to 105 matches the Rfam family "Bacterial small signal recognition particle RNA". Rfam says of the family: The signal recognition particle (SRP) is a universally conserved ribonucleoprotein involved in the co-translational targeting of proteins to membranes. Archaeal SRP consists of a 7S RNA and homologues of the eukaryotic SRP19 and SRP54 proteins. In most bacteria, the SRP consists of a 4.5S RNA and the Ffh protein (a homologue of the eukaryotic SRP54 protein). RNAcentral also lists the same sequence under 17 other names. The record is from RNAcentral. Lineage: Bacteria; Pseudomonadati; Pseudomonadota; Gammaproteobacteria; Enterobacterales; Enterobacteriaceae.